CAACAUUUCUAGCCUCCAUAUUUCACCGCGUUUUUCAAACUUUGUCCGUGUCCAUCAGCAAAAGUUUGCCUGUUUAUGAAGUGGCCAAGACAAAAGCAAAUAUACACAGCUAUUGGCUGGAAAAUGGAGGCUUUGCGAACAGGUUCGGGCCAUUAAGCAAACGACACUGGCCAGAAAUGCAAAAGCUCCCUUUUGGCCAGGAUCACAGGACACACACAUGGCUAGCAGAGAGGGAAGGAAGGCGAAAAAACCCACAUUACGAGAUGCCGUGAAGUGCAUAAAUCGAUGAGAAUGGCAGGGACUAUGCCACUAACAACCUAAUAACUGCAGCAGCCCAGGCUCAGACGACAACCUCGACGACGGGCGUCUAAUCACGGUGGUUCAGUGGGUGGUGGAGGUCAGAGGCUGCUCCACCUCCUCAUCCGACUGGUUGAAAUACCCAAAGCAAAGCCACUUGCAGCAGGGACUCCAGUUCGGUCAGCAGGCAUUGUUCUCGCCAGGCAAAGGCGUUGACUCUGCGGCUGCCCAGGCAUCCAUUCAUCUAGCCCCCUUUUAACCCACCGUAAACCACCCAAAAACCUCCUAAGCCACCCGCCACCCCCUCACUGUGCACCGGUAAAUUUUGCACUUUAGCUGGCCAAAAUGUCAUUGGCAGCAAUGGACGCAAAAACCGCAAGUACACUUGAGUGCUGCACUCCAGGUGCCGUUCUACGCCCACUUUUCCAACCCCUCCCCUUUUCCCAUACCUCCGGCUUUCCACGCCCCCUUGGGCGCUCCAGCCUGCUCCUCAUAAUGUGGAUGCGAACGUGGCCGGGACAUGCACGACGUUGUUGAUGUCUAGCCUGCUGGUCUAGUGUGUCUAGAGUGUGUGUUUGUCAAGACCGAGGCCGAAAAACCACCAGACAUGGUCCAAACCAGAGGCCAGGGCAUCGGGCACCAGACACAGGAAACUGGGAAUAGGAACAGGUCCAAGUCCGGGCCCAGAGAAGUAGGAAACACGAUGCAUUGGCCAACGGAACGGUGGAGCCGUCGGCGAGAGAUUUCAUGUGAAAUUAGCAUGUCGUGACACAAAUGACUUAAAAGCACUCAAUCGCACCGAACACACCAAACAAGGAGUGAGAGAGCCUGGCCAGGAAACGAAGGAGGAUAUGCACUAAGCGAAAAUUGUUGGAAUUUUGAAGAUUAAAACCGAAACAAUUUACCAUUAGGAUAUGUAUGAAAUACUCGAAUAUACAAAGUAUAGUAUGAUGUAUAACUGAUCUGGGUUACAACCACAAAACUUCAUCUUCAACUUAUGGUUUGUUUAAUAAUUUAAGAUAUUAAUUUGGAUGUCAUUCCGAUUUUUCGCAGUCUGCUGUGCAGUAAUGACUGGGUUCUUCAGGCGGAGCCUUUGGCAAGUGUCGCUCGCCCGCUGUGUGCAAAAUAAUUUACACUCACACGUAGAGUUCAUCAAACUGUUUGUGGCAGUACCGCCCGAGCCUCCUCCACCCCCGCAAAUCUUCUUAAGCCCCCCCUGCCCCCCAGGACCCCCUAGAAGCACCUAAGACCCCUCUGCUCACCCUUUAACCCACCUGUGCACAACUUAAUUAAGCCGCCGGGGCUGGGAGCACACCAUCAUCUUCAAUGGCAGCCGACAUUCGGAUCCCAUUCGGAUCGCAACGCAUUCCAGACAACAUCCCAUCCCAUUGAUUGCAUUAAUGUAUUUCUUCAAAAUUAUUGUUUGCCCAGCCGCGCGCCUGCUUAUCAUAAAUUAUGUAAAUGGAAAAACGCGAACCGGAAAACAGGACCGCGGCGAACAACAAUUCUCAAUUAAUGAAGCUCCCCGAUAUCAGUAUCAUGUGAGUCGCCGGUUCGCCAGAUAAAAAUGCAAAAACACCCAGCUCAAGCAACAAAAAACCAAACAGUAUAUAUAAGAAAACAGGACCACAGGCCCUACCUGAGUGCUACCUGGAUCGCAGUCAGCAAAACACAUCACAUACCCACAAAGAGCCCAAGGAACCCACAAAAAAUACUCUGCCGAGUGCGCCAAAAAUUAAGCAGUGACAGUUGAUAAUUUGUCAAAGCCACAGAGUCCAGUCACCGGGACGAGCCCUAAACUCGUUUCCAUGUUGGAUGUAGUAGUAGUCUGGAGUCGGGGUCCGUUGAUUAAGUCGGCUUAUGUGACCUACUAUAGUUAAUAUAUUAUUGGACUACCCAUCAUAGGGUGUGUGAAGGAACCAUCAUAUCACACCAAAAGUUCACUUCAUCGCUUUUCAAUGUAAUUCAAAUAAACAUAAGAUAUCAAGCAACAUUUUAAUUUCUCUAUAUAUAUGUGUAAAUACAUAUGAAUUAUGACUUAUACAUCACAUUCUAUACACUUUAUUUUUAUUUUUUUAUCUUAAGAGCAUCCAAUCUUCCAGUUUUCCCAACUGUUUCUUGUCCCUGAACUUUUUAUUUAUUUCCUCGCUGAUGACAACAUGCCCUGCUCAUAAGCCAGGCCCAUAACGAUCCGCUGCUGGAGGAGCAAGAUGGCCAGGACAUGGACACGCAUGCGUAAGUCGAUGCCGCUGUAAGUGUCAGUUGUUGCUGAUAAUUAGCGAUUAUGGACGACAG
Non-coding RNA from Drosophila melanogaster (fruit fly), 2592 nucleotides. NCBI's taxonomy places the organism in Eukaryota, Metazoa, Arthropoda, Insecta, Diptera, Drosophilidae. The record is from Ensembl.